RNAcentral lists this unclassified non-coding RNA (169 nucleotides) under uncultured Kockovaella. RNAcentral's name for it is "sequence contains ITS2". Lineage: Eukaryota; Fungi; Basidiomycota; Tremellomycetes; Tremellales; Cuniculitremaceae. The record is from RNAcentral.
AACAUCAAUCCCUGAGGGUUUUCUGACCGUCGGUGGACUUGGACCUGGGCGUCUGCCUCACAAGGCUCGCCUCAAAUGACUCAGUGGGAACCUCUUGACCUACGCCUGACGUGAUAAGUUUCGUCUCGGCCGGUCUUGAGGCCCGCUCAUAACAACCCACAUAUUUUGA